GACCUCUGCAGCCCUCUGGCCCUGCUCUGGCAGUGCCCCUUCCCACAGGGUCAAGGAGCCUGGCUCUCUGCCAGACCGUCGAGGUGGUCAGAAUUGUGGAAUCCCAUGCCAAAUAGUACCAAAUUCUCGUGCAGGAUCUGCUUGGGCUCAGAACUCACCUCUGUGCCCAGGAAUGGGUCUUGGUUGGAGAGCGGACAGUGGUUGGACCUGUGGGCGGAGGUGUGGGGGUGGGGGGCUCCAAGUGUGGAGAGAGGGUGGUCAGUCAGCUUGCCUUCCCCCCGCCUCCCUCCUGUCCUUGCAGGAGGCCAAGAAUUCAUAAUUCACACCUUGCCAUCCACGUCCUUGCAGAGCAGUUUUUGUCGGGGUGAGAGGAUACGUCAUCUUUUAAGUUUAUCUUUAUUUAUAACUUAAAUACUUCGGUUAAUGGUACAUGAGUCUCUCUUUGUCCUCCUGCCCACAAAGGGUAGGCAUGGUUCUGAGAAUGAGGUGGUAGAAAAUGCUUUGUCCUUGUAGGCCUGGGGGUUAAGCUCAAGUGUUGGGUAUCCAUUAUUAUCUGAGACCUUGGGCCCGUCCCCUAAGCCACCUUCGUUUCCUAUCUGUAAAUGGUGAUAUUUAAAUUUGCCCUACCCACGUACCACACAGGAGCCUUGGUGAAAAUCUGGUGCCCAAACCCCUCAUUUUACCUUGGAGAGAGCUGAGCAGAGUUAGAACCCUGGUGUGCUGGCUGCCCUGUUCAUGGUGCCAGCCGGUCCUCAGGGAUAAUACUUACCAGAUAAUGGGUGGGCACAUGCUUUAAAAGCUGCAGCGCCUCGUAAAUACAUGACAAUUACUACCCAGACCCGGGCGGCCCACAGCUCCUUCAAGAGGAUACCUGCCUCAGGGCUCCGGGAGCCAUGCAGGUUUCAUUUGGCUUGCUCUUCAGCUGAAAGGACAGCAUCAGUAAAGAUGGAGAGAUUGAAAUCCAAGCAAUGGGGUGUCUGCUGGAUAGAAGCUUCCUAGGAGAGGGCAGAGGAGGAGUCUGGGAGCUGGUGGGAAGGCUGAGGAAGCGUCCUUCCUCUGCAUCAGGAGGAAGAGCCAAGAGACCUGAGAACUGGAGCUGAGAGGUGACAAGCUGAGGGAGCUCAAGCUGCCAGUGCACUGCUCUCUGUGCGUAAACGUGGCCAGGCACCUGCUGCCAGGAGGGAGGCAGGCGUGGGUCCGGGAAUCAGAGCAGAAAUGAGACCGUGUCUAACAGUGACAGUGCAGCGCACAGCGUCAAGUUGCUCAGCUGCUAAAUUUGGGUUCCAUGAAUUUGUGAAUACGCCAAUUCAGCUUUUUAAAAAUUUUUUUUGUGAAGAUUUCGAUAAUUCCUCUUAAGUGUAUCAGAUCAGAUUCUGUUAAAAGUUCUGAAGACUUUUGCUCAGCAUAUAAAAAUAAAUAAUUAUAAAAUUAACUCCACAUCUCCCAUAUGCCCUAAUCCUUAGUGAAAAUAUACGUGCAAACCUGUGACUUAUGUGAUUAAAAAUUCCAUUACUAAUGGGAAAUUAAAUGAACUCAAUAAAACCGUCUUACCUAUGUAGUCUCUUGAGUUUCUCUUUCUGU
Molecule: long non-coding RNA, 1581 nt
Organism: Equus asinus (donkey)
Lineage: Eukaryota; Metazoa; Chordata; Mammalia; Perissodactyla; Equidae
Source: Ensembl